Molecule: ribosomal RNA, 497 nt
Filed under: uncultured bacterium
Lineage: Bacteria
Description: partial 16S ribosomal RNA
Rfam family: Bacterial small subunit ribosomal RNA
Source: RNAcentral
GAUGAACGCUGGCGGCGUGCCUAAUACAUGCAAGUCGAGCGAACGGACGAGAAGCUUGCUUCUCUGAUGUUAGCGGCGGACGGGUGAGUAACACGUGGAUAACCUACCUAUAAGACUGGGAUAACUUCGGGAAACCGUAGCUAAUACCGGAUAAUAUUUUGAACCGCAUGGUUCAAAGGUGAAAGACGGUCUUGCUGUCACUUAUAGAUGGAUCCGCGCUGCAUUAGCUAGUUGGUAAGGUAACGGCUUACCAAGGCAACGAUGCAUAGCCGACCUGAGAGGGUGAUCGGCCACACUGGAACUGAGACACGGUCCAGACUCCUACGGGAGGCAGCAGUAGGGAAUCUUCCGCAAUGGGCGAAAGCCUGACGGAGCAACGCCGCGUGAGUGAUGAAGGUCUUCGGAUCGUAAAACUCUGUUAUUAGGGAAGAACAUAUGUGUAAGUAACUGUGCACAUCUUGGCGGUACCUAAUCAGAAAGCCACGGCUAACUACGUG